UACGUAGGGUGCAAGCGUUAAUCGGAAUUACUGGGCGUAAAGCGUGCGCAGGCGGUUAUGCAAGCCAGAUGUGAAAUCCCCGGGCUUAACCUGGGAACUGCAUUUGUGACUGCAUAGCUAGAGUACGGUAGAGGGGGAUGGAAUUCCGCGUGUAGCAGUGAAAUGCGUAGAUAUGCGGAGGAACACCGAUGGCGAAGGCAGUCCCCUGGACCUGUACUGACGCUCAUGCACGAAAGCGUGGGGAGCAAACAGG
This 253-nucleotide ribosomal RNA is filed under the name uncultured bacterium. RNAcentral describes it as "partial 16S ribosomal RNA". It matches the Rfam family "Bacterial small subunit ribosomal RNA", at positions 524 to 776 of the family's 1533-position model. The record is from RNAcentral.